UACGGGGGGAGCAAGCGUUGUUCGGAUUUACUGGGCGUAAAGGGCGCGUAGGCGGCCAGCACAAGUCAGUUGUGAAAUCUCCGAGCUUAACUCGGAAAGGUCAACUGAUACUGUGCGGCUAGAGUGCGGAAGGGGCAACUGGAAUUCUUGGUGUAGCGGUGAAAUGCGUAGAGAUCGGGAGGAACACCAGAGGCGAAAGCGGCGACCUGGACAGGUACUGACACUCAACUACGAAAGCGUGGGGAGCAAACAGG
RNAcentral lists this ribosomal RNA (254 nucleotides) under uncultured bacterium. Its description in RNAcentral is "partial 16S ribosomal RNA". It matches the Rfam family "Bacterial small subunit ribosomal RNA", at positions 524 to 776 of the family's 1533-position model. The record is from RNAcentral.